AGGUCUACCAGAAUCUGAUGGCAAAAAAAAAUUUAAAAAUUAGCGAUUUUCAUAUGGCAAUAAAAAAAAAUUUCAUCUGUCAACUGAAAUUUCGAGGAAUUGUUUUUGGUUUGGCUUCAAAUUUCCCUUAAAAAGUGAUGAAAAUGUCGAAGAAACCCCUUCGAUCGCAAGCAAGACAUAUUGUUUUCAAUGUUUAUCAAAGAAUACUUGAUCAACAAGAUGCAGAACAUACACAAUCAUCGAUAUUGAGCCAUGUGCAAGCGUUGACUGGGGUUUCUUAUACUACAAAUAAACUUGGAUAGUUUUGAUUUAGAAUUGAUCAGAAACAAGAUAAAUGAGUUUUACACUGUUUCUUUCUCUCAAAUAGGGAUCGAUGAAGAGCGAAAAUCUUGUGAACAUGUAAUAAAAAUUGAAAAUCAGUUCAUAGAACAAGAUCAGUUAAUUGAGAUGCAGGAGGAAAGGUUUAUUAUAAAUACUGCGUUGAAGACUUUUUUUAUGGAUGUGCAGUAUUUGGAACCAUUUUCAAAUUCUUAAUUAAUUAAUAAACUCAUGAACAGAGUAAUUGGAGUUUUCAUCUAAAUUUCAAACCCCACAUUCGCCACAUUUUCAAAAAUUAUCAUUGGAUAAAUUUUUAUAUAUUUUGCAUGUAUCACACACAGAAUCAGC
Long non-coding RNA from Pieris napi, 666 nucleotides. RefSeq lists it as uncharacterized. The transcript is spliced from 2 exons. The record is from RefSeq and is a predicted model, not a curated record. Lineage: Eukaryota; Metazoa; Arthropoda; Insecta; Lepidoptera; Pieridae.